This 245-nucleotide ribosomal RNA is filed under the name uncultured bacterium. RNAcentral's name for it is "partial 16S ribosomal RNA". It matches the Rfam family "Bacterial small subunit ribosomal RNA", at positions 15 to 255 of the family's 1533-position model. The record is from RNAcentral.
GAUCCUGGCUCAGAUUGAACGCUGGCGGCAGGCUUAACACAUGCAAGUCGAACGGUAACAUAAAGAAGCUUGCUUCUUUGAUGACGAGUGGCGGACGGGUGAGUAAUGCUUGGGAAUCUAGCUUAUGGAGGGGGGAUAACUACGGGAAACUGUAGCUAAUACCGCGUAGAAUCGGGAGAUGAAAGUGUGGGACCUUCGGGCCACAUGCCAUAGGAUGAGCCCAAGUGGGAUUAGGUAGUUGGUGG